RNAcentral lists this ribosomal RNA (492 nucleotides) under uncultured bacterium. RNAcentral's name for it is "bacterial SSU rRNA". It matches the Rfam family "Bacterial small subunit ribosomal RNA", at positions 15 to 518 of the family's 1533-position model. The record is from RNAcentral.
GAUCAUGGCUCAGGAUGAACGCUGGCGGCGCGCUUAACACAUGCAAGUCGAACGGUUAAAGCACCUCCGGGUGUGCAUAAAGUGGCGAACGGCUGAGUAACACGUGGGCAACCUGCCCCCCGCACCGGGAUAGCCUCGGGAAACCGUGGGUAAUACCGGAUACUCCGCCACCCCCGCAUGGGGGAGGCGGGAAAGCGUACACGGCGGGGGAUGGGCCCGCGGCCUGUUAGCUCGUUGGCGGGGUAACGGCCCACCAAGGCGAUUAUGGGUAGCCGGGUUGAGAGACCGACCGGCCAGAUUGGGACUGAGACACGGCCCAGACUCCUACGGGAGGCAGCAGUGGGGAAUCUUGCACAAUGGGCGAAAGCCUGAUGCAAGCGACGCCGCGUGCGGGAUGAAGGCCCUCGGGUUGUAAACCGCUUUCAGCAGGGACGAGGCGCAAGUGACGGUACCUGCAGAAGAAGCCCCGGCUAACUACGUGCCAGCAGCCGC